CUCAGAAGGGAGCAGAAAUUCAGCUUCACGGUGCUAGGGAGCAGUUUGGUGCACAGCGACUUAAUUUGGCUUCAACUGUUGAAAUAAGACCAUGGGUGGAGAUGAGUGAGACGCAAUACCCCAGAAGUGCCACCCCUUGCCAGUUUCCUGUGUAUUGUGUUAGCAUAUAACCAUAUGAACCUUGGCGCCAGGAAUGGCGGUGUAGUCCUAGCUACCCAAGAGAUUGAGGCAGAAGGAUCUCGAGCGGAGUUCGGGGCCAGCCUGGCUGGCAGCAUGGCAAGAUCCUAUUUAAACAAUCAAAAAUACUCUUAAGUCUUUGGAAGUUGGCGCUGUGGUCACACAAUCAUGCUGAAAGCAUCCAGAUGUAAAAUGAUGGCGAAAAGGUGAUACGUUGGAAAACCAACAAAUUCACUCAAAACAUUAAAUCAGAGCUUCUGGACCUCCAGCUCUAUUGACACUGUGGGUUAGAUAAUUGUUGAGGGAGGGUGGUGUGCUACCCUGUGCUUUGCAAGCAACAUCUCAGACCUUGUGCCCAUCAAUAAUCAGUACCCCCCACCCCCACUGUGGCAACCAAAAAUGUGUCCAGAGAUGUGCGGUGGCACUGUAGUUUAGGAAGCCCUUACUCUGAAUAUUUCUGUAGCUAAGGAAGUUCAUGACUGCUGCCCACUGCACCCCCUGCCUGGCUCUUCCCUGGUAUUCCCAAAUAGGAAGGGCUUUUCCACAUCUUCCCCACUUUGAUGGUAAACAUCAGGGACAGGCACAGCCACCCCAGACGUGGACACACUAGGCCAGUGAUGGCUAACCUUUUAGAGCUUUCUAUGACACUUGUGCCACCGAUUCAUCGCCACUGCACUAGGCUGACAAGUUAGGUGGCUGGUUGCUAUCAAUCCAGCCCCAUCUCACACUGACACAAUUGCCCUACAGCGGGCAGGUGAAAGCCAUCAUUUCUGAGGAAAAUCCCUAAAGCCCCUGGACAUUCAGCACCCAAAAUUGAACUAAAGGACCAGGAGGGCUGAGUGGAUGAAAUAGAUUCAUUGUAUCCACUUGACCCUUAAUAGUAACUGCUGUGUUUCCCUUACCCCAGAUUCUUCCCUGUGCUAUCUCCUUUAAUCCUCACAAAAACAGAAAGUCAUUACUACCACCUCACAGAUGUAGAAAUGGAUUCAGAAAUGAAGAACAAUCAUAGUAGGUUGAAGGUGUUUACAGACUCUGCGAGGAGAUUUGAAGGUUCACUAGUGUCUAACUACCUGCCUAAGAAAACAAAAGACAGUCAGGAACACAAGUGCAUCUGGACAGGAAGUAAUAGCAGCUGAGGAAGACAGAAGGCAUGGAGCCAGCCACCAGCCACGUGGAGUGCUAGAAAAACGGCCAGCCUUGAUUAAGAAGUGCUGCGAGUGUGAAAUACACACCAGAUCUGAGUCCCUCUCCAGAAAUCCCACAUUUGGAUCCAGACUAUGGAAUGAAACCCGAGCCAGAACCUGGAGAGGCUCCAGCACCCUGGCCUCUUGCCCUAUCUUCCAGCUGACCUCUCCGGGGGUACCAGAGCCUGCGUAAGCCAUUAGGACACACCUGAGGCCUCCAUGGCCCUGCCUGGAGAAUGUCUGGCCUGAGGGAGCUGCUGAGGGGAAGGAGCGGGAAGAGACAAUGAAAAGGAGGAAACUGUGAACCUCAAACCCUCAACCCGCCUGAGGUGGACCAUCUUCUUCUGGAGGCCCUGGGCUGGCCGUGGCUGAGCUGGGAGAAGCCAAGAUAUUGCUUUGGAAGCCUGGUGAGGAACGGCACGGGGUCCCAGCUCCCCAGGCUGGCUGCUGUGCAGAUGCUGGACAACAGAGCCAGGAUGGAGGCCACCAAGAAAGAAAAGUUACUCUCUGAGCUGAAAGAUAAUGACUUCAAUGUGUAGAUAAAAGCCAAACAAGCAAAUUAAAACAAACAGAAAAUCCAGAAGGGAAGCUGGCCAGAAACAAAGACAACCUGUGCUCUGGCUCCUCAGGGAACCACCAGAUCAGCCAAAAGGCACAACCUAAACUUCCAGAAGGUGAGAUCCUUUCUGCCCACCUUGCUCCAGCCAGCUCCCAGGAACACAGAAAUGGUCCCCAUGACCCCAGAGGGCUAUGG
Long non-coding RNA from Fukomys damarensis (Damara mole-rat), 2115 nucleotides. RefSeq lists it as uncharacterized. The transcript is spliced from 6 exons. The record is from RefSeq and is a predicted model, not a curated record. NCBI's taxonomy places the organism in Eukaryota, Metazoa, Chordata, Mammalia, Rodentia, Bathyergidae.